RNAcentral lists this ribosomal RNA (465 nucleotides) under Vreelandella stevensii. RNAcentral's name for it is "partial 16S ribosomal RNA". It matches the Rfam family "Bacterial small subunit ribosomal RNA", at positions 338 to 795 of the family's 1533-position model. Lineage: Bacteria; Pseudomonadati; Pseudomonadota; Gammaproteobacteria; Oceanospirillales; Halomonadaceae. The record is from RNAcentral.
CCUACGGGUGGCAGCAGUGGGGAAUAUUGGACAAUGGGCGAAAGCCUGAUCCAGCCAUGCCGCGUGUGUGAAGAAGGCCUUCGGGUUGUAAAGCACUUUCAGUGGGGAAGAAAGCCUUGGGGCUAAUACCCUCGAGGAAGGACAUCACCCACAGAAGAAGCACCGGCUAACUCCGUGCCAGCAGCCGCGGUAAUACGGAGGGUGCGAGCGUUAAUCGGAAUUACUGGGCGUAAAGCGCGCGUAGGCGGUCUGAUAAGCCGGUUGUUAAAGCCCCGGGCUCAACCUGGGAACGGCAUCCGGAACUGUCAGGCUAGAGUGCAGGAGAGGAAGGUAGAAUUCCCGGUGUAGCGGUGAAAUGCGUAGAGAUCGGGAGGAAUACCAGUGGCGAAGGCGGCCUUCUGGACUGACACUGACGCUGAGGUGCGAAAGCGUGGGUAGCAAACAGGAUUAGAUACCCCAGUAGUC